CUCUUUUUCCCCUUGCAGGUUGGUCCGCUGUCUACAGGUGCUCGUUAUUCUGGCCAGUUUGUCGUGCUCUAUCUUUGACCACCUCUUUGCAGGUUGUCCCCUUCUCCCCCUCUCUUCUAUGCUUUCCAGGCCUAGGCUUACAUUUCUUCUUGUAUGAAGCGGCUGUUAGAUUUUGUUUGGACAAUGGAUGUAUCUGCUUUUUGUUCUCUUAUUGGUAGAAGCCUAGCAUGUAAAACUAUUAUCCCCUGCCUUUAUUUUUGUGCUUGCUUGGCAUUUGGAAUUGGGCAUUUUGGUCACUUCUAUAGAUCAUGGUAGUACCUAGCAUUUUGGUCACUUCUAUAGAUCCUGGUUGUGCUCAAAUUUACACGGGGUGGCUGUCUCUCUUCUAUACUUCUAUAGAUCAGGUUUCUCCGCUUAUGUUUAGCCUUUGUUAGGUAUACCUCUUUGCUGUCUUGAUGUGCGCAUGUGCUACCUUCUAAUAUUCAUGCCUCAUUGCAUUAUAAUAUUUCCCUUGCUUGUACUCAGGUUCCAGUUGUUAUUUCAAUGCAUCUUAUUCAUGGAUGCAUGCUUUACAUGCUCUUCUAGCAUAUGUUUGUUCUUGUGUUUCUUUCUCUUAUCUCCUAACUUCCUCUUGAGUGCAUGAAAAUACCUCAAUUAAUUAGUUUGUCGCUCCGUUAGUCGCCAUGGUCAGAUGAUGCUUCAGGUUUGCACUUCACAUUGAGGUAUUGGCCUGGUUACUAGCAUAGGUUUUCCUGUUGUGCCGCUUACUGCAAUUUCAUUAUUGAUUUGAUAGGAAAACUGGUGUUUAUCUACAUGAGGGACCUGGUUGUAUUACCUACUACAUGCAUCCUUAACUGGGCACCAAAAAACCUAGAUUGUGCAUCUCUGUUUGUUCAUGUGGUGAUUAUCCUAUUGUUUUCGGCAUCAGUGAGUUAUCUCUUCCCUGUGUUUUUUGCGUGAAGUCUUAGCCAACACCCAAGGUUCUGUUCCUGUGUAAUUAUUUUGCAUUGUUUCAGUUUGUUGUAUUACGAUGCCUAUUUUGCAGUCACACAAUCCAAAUGUAAUAGUAGGGAGAAAGAUGAUGAUGUUGUGCUUUAUAUCACAAUUCAAAUUCUAGAGUCGCACUUUUUGUUGAUUAAUCAUUCUGACCAGUAAUGAUUAUUCCUCUUUGUUUUAUUGUAUUGUUGGCCAAUUAAAAAAAUUGUAGGUGUAUAUUUUCUGUAUGGUGUAUAUUAUGCGAGUUAUUUCUAACACAUCUUGAUUUUAUUUUAGAAUCAUCUAACUCAAGCUCAUGCCUUUGAUCUUUGUUAACUAAAGCUUCUGUUAUAUUGGAUAUCAAAUUAUCUACACUUGAACUUAAGAUGUGAUGUAUCAUACUAGAUUUUCACUCCUUUAAAAAUCUUAGUUAGCAUUCAGAUUUUUUUAGAAUAGAUGCUCCUAUAUUUUUGUCAGCGCUUGAUGUACUUUGUUUAAAUGUUUCUUCCUGGUAGGAUCGAUUGUAAACAGUGGAUGAAUGCAUACCUUUUCAAGCUUAAGCAUUUGAUGUUUGGUGAUGUGGUAUUUUCUCUUUAAAGACGUUCCUACUACUUUCUUUUUUGAUAAAUAGACAAGUUGGAUCCAGUGUAUGUCCAUGUGUGUGCCUUGGUUCAGUACGCAAUGAAAUCUGGGAAAGUGGCUUCUGUUUAACAUUGUCAUGAAAGAUACAUUCACAUGUCUUGAACUUUCUAUCUUGGUUCUAUUUGUAUUGUUAGCUUCAAAAGAUAUAUUCACUUCUUUGCGACUUUUAUCUCUAUAACAUGUCUACUCUUCGUUUAGAUAUAUUUUUUAUUCCAGCUAUGUUGUUGUGAGGGAGCAGGCUUCUUAUGGGGAAUGGUGAUGAUUUAUUGAGCUUUCAUUUUGUUCUCCUUUCUAUCCCAAACAUAGUUUUCGCAGAGUCGAUGUAUGUGCCGGUUUGCCCGGAUAAUCCAUGUAGCGGUUAGUCUGUUUUUAUUCAUAUAAUUACUGGACUCCUAUAAAAACACGGAGAUGUACUGCGCUAUAUGUUCUCUGAUCCGUUGAGCCCAAACAUGUACAAGUGGAUCUGACCGUUAGAUUUUAAUUAUAUUGUGGACGUUGUCAUAGCUAGCAAUAUAUAGUGCAGUUUACUUUCUUUGUCCUCUUGUGGCCACUAACUAAAUCUUUUGUGUUUUCUUCUUUUGCUCAGGGCCCUAUGCUCCUAUAGCUUGAAUCAGGGUGGUGCCAAUGAUUCACAAGCUCUUCCAUAUUAUCAUUAGCGGUGAAGUCAUUCAAGUAUUGGCCACUACUAUCUGCAUUAGCUUCGCCUCAGAAAAUAACCUUUUCACUUGGAAGGAGGAAGUAGGAGUUCUCAGUAAUGGUUAACUACAAGCUACAGUAGAUGUUCUUUGAUUAACAAAGACAAAUGUCCUACUAUUAUCGAUGUUUCCAGAGCUUCAUUCUCAAUUUGUCUGUUAUCUCAUUAUGUUUAUGAGCAGCUCCAAAAUCUGACACUUAUGCUUGCCAGUAUGAAUUUCUUGGCUAUAUUUUAUAGAACUUAUGUCUUGACGCUUUGUACUGAACUUGAUGCAGUCCAAUUCAAGUCAGUUGUCCUGAGCAAGCAUUAUGUCUUGCUUUUGGUACAUUUUGUGCCUUUAUGCUUUGUAGUAAAGUUCAAGGCCAGUUGUCUUGGGAACAACUAUACCAUGCUUCUGGUAUAUCAUUAAUUUGUAUGCUCUAUGCUAAACUCA
Triticum dicoccoides is the source of this 2744-nucleotide long non-coding RNA. RefSeq lists it as uncharacterized. The record is from RefSeq and is a predicted model, not a curated record. The transcript has 2 exons. NCBI's taxonomy places the organism in Eukaryota, Viridiplantae, Streptophyta, Magnoliopsida, Poales, Poaceae.